UGGGGAAUAUUGCACAAUGGGCGCAAGCUUGAUGCAGCCAUGCCGCGUGUGUGAAGAAGGCCUUCGGGUUGUAAAGCACUUUCAGCGGGGAGGAAGGCGUUAAGGUUAAUAACCUUGGCGAUUGACGUUACCCGCAGAAGAAGCACCGGCUAACUCCGUGCCAGCAGCCGCGGUAAUACGGUGGGUGCAAGCGUUAAUCGGAAUUACUUGGCGUAAAGCGCACGCAGGCGGUCUGUCAAGUCGGAUGUGAAAUCCCCGGGCUCAACCUGGGAACUGCAUUCGAAACUGGCAGGCUAGAGUCUUGUAGAGGGGGGUAGAAUUCCAGGUGGAGCGGUGAAAUGCGUAGAGAUCUGGAGGAAUAACGGUGGCGAAGGCGGCCCCCUGGACAAAGAAUGACGCUCAGGUGCGAAAGCGUGGGGAGCAAACAGG
RNAcentral lists this ribosomal RNA (429 nucleotides) under Chloroflexota bacterium. RNAcentral describes it as "Chloroflexi bacterium partial 16S ribosomal RNA". It matches the Rfam family "Bacterial small subunit ribosomal RNA", at positions 355 to 776 of the family's 1533-position model. Lineage: Bacteria; Bacillati; Chloroflexota. The record is from RNAcentral.